This 380-nucleotide small RNA is filed under the name Arabidopsis thaliana (thale cress). Its description in RNAcentral is "ATSL306620". The record is from RNAcentral. Lineage: Eukaryota; Viridiplantae; Streptophyta; Magnoliopsida; Brassicales; Brassicaceae.
UAAAAAAAAUGCUAAAUAUACAUGAAGAUGUGAAAAACAUGUUGGAUUUGUGGAAUCGCUAAUGAAUGACCUAAAUGCCGGGAUCCAAAAUCUGGUUAGAUUUCACAACGUCAUAUUAAUUAUUAAUUUAGUAUUUAUAAUACGUUAAAAAAAAAAAGUUGAAAAUCUUAUAAGAAAAAAAAUAAUCUAAAUAUACAUGAAGAUGAAAUGUGAAAAACAUGUUGGAUUUGUGGAAUCGCUAAUGACCACGGUUAAAUGGCGGGAUCCAAAAUCCGGUUAGAAUUCACAACGUCAUAUUAAUUUAGUAUUUAUAGAACCUUUAAAAAAAAGAAAAAAAAUAGAAAGAGACGAAAACCAUUUUCAACAAAAGUUUAUAAAAA